UACGUAGGGUCCGAGCGUUGUCCGGAUUUACUGGGCGUAAAGCGCGCGCAGGCGGCCCGCGAGGUGUCACGUGAAAGCCCCGGGCUCAACUCGGGAGGGUCGUGGCAAACCGGCGGGCUUGAGGCCGGUAGAGGUGGGUGGAACUCCUGGUGGAGUGGUGAAAUGCGUAGAGAUCAGGAAGAACACCCGUGGCGAAGGCGGCCCACUGGGCCGGUACUGACGCUGAGGCGCGAAGGCGUGGGGAGCGAACGGG
Molecule: ribosomal RNA, 253 nt
Filed under: uncultured bacterium
Lineage: Bacteria
Description: partial 16S ribosomal RNA
Rfam family: Bacterial small subunit ribosomal RNA
Source: RNAcentral